UGGGGAAUCUUGGACAAUGGGGGCAACCCUGAUCCAGCCAUCCCGCGUGUGCGAUGAAGGCCUUCGGGUUGUAAAGCACUUUUGGCAGGGAAGAAACAGCCUGGGCUAAUAUCCCGGGCGACUGACGGUACCUGCAGAAUAAGCACCGGCUAACUACGUGCCAGCAGCCGCGGUAAUACGUAGGGUGCAAGCGUUAAUCGGAAUUACUGGGCGUAAAGCGUGCGCAGGCGGUUCGGAAAGAAAGGUGUGAAAUCCCAGGGCUUAACCUUGGAACUGCACUUUUAACUACCGGGCUAGAGUACGUCAGAGGGGGGUAGAAUUCCACGUGUAGCAGUGAAGUGCGUAGAGAUGUGGAGGAAUACCGAUGGCGAAGGCAGCCCCCUGGGAUGAUACUGACGCUCAUGCACGAAAGCGUGGGGAGCAAACA
RNAcentral lists this ribosomal RNA (427 nucleotides) under uncultured bacterium. RNAcentral's name for it is "bacterial SSU rRNA". It matches the Rfam family "Bacterial small subunit ribosomal RNA", at positions 355 to 774 of the family's 1533-position model. The record is from RNAcentral.